This is a long non-coding RNA of Raphanus sativus (radish), 1049 nucleotides long. RefSeq lists it as uncharacterized. The record is from RefSeq and is a predicted model, not a curated record. Lineage: Eukaryota; Viridiplantae; Streptophyta; Magnoliopsida; Brassicales; Brassicaceae. The transcript is spliced from 5 exons.
AAUUAGUUUUGCAUAUAGGCCCACACAUGUUUAUAGGUUAGUUCUCUUCCUCUGCUUACGAACGUCUCUGUCGUGACGUUUGAUUCAGAUUGCACCUUCUCUUUACACACGGCUAUGUAACGCCUGAGCUGAUAUUAAUUCACCACAAUGAAUACCACAUUUACUUGAUUUAAAACUCUUCCAACUAUCUUGGGCAUUCAAUCGUCUUCCCACCCCUCGAAGGCACCGAAGAAAGAAAAAGUUCCACUACUAUCCUAUAAACCCUGCAAAAUCCGGAGGUGGAACACAUAAGAAAUGGAGCAAGGGGAAGCUAAAUCAGAAAAGGUGAACAACAUGGUUCUAUUCGAUCAGGCAACUAACAACAAGCUUCGGUCUGAAGCUCCUAUGUUCAAGUUGGUAAAUCAGGCUGUAUCCUUUUCAACAUCACCUGAACCAUCAGCUGUCGCAAUUAGAGGACCCUUCAAACCAAUUUCAUUGUUGCCAUUAAGAGCACGAGCUGCAUUUUCAAGAAACUCCUUUGCAUCUGAUUGAACAGAUUGUUUCUCAUUGGUUUGGUAUUUUCUCUCUUUUUUUUUUCUGUAACAGGUAACAGAUUGGUGUUUUCUCUUUUUUUUUCUGCAGUUAUAUAUAAAUACAUGAUUUUUGAUUUCUCAAAGCGAAGUAUUAGGUUUCUUCAUACUCUCACCUUCGACCUCCGUAGAUUACAGUCGAGUGUUCCAUGAAACUAGAGUGCCGAUCAACUCCCGUAACGUCUCCAGACAAACCAUGUCGUUUCACCUGUUAUAUGUCCAAGCACGUGUUCCUGCUCUUCCAUUGAAAGAUGAGGGGUUUGUUUAUCUGAUACUGAUCCUAACGCCAUGUGCUUUAAUGGUUGGCCUGAAUCACGUAGAUUCCUGUCAUUGCUUAGGAAUCAAAGGCUUCCAAGCUCCAGAGACGAGAUUAUGAGGCAGUGACGAAUUAUGGGACGUCACUAAACUGCACAACCGAUAAUCUUCUUCCCUUGAGGAAUUGUAUGAUUCAAGGUUCCAGAAAACGGAGGAUAAGAAGCA